Molecule: transfer RNA, 68 nt
Filed under: Salmonella enterica subsp. enterica serovar Enteritidis
Lineage: Bacteria; Pseudomonadati; Pseudomonadota; Gammaproteobacteria; Enterobacterales; Enterobacteriaceae
Description: tRNA-Lys
Rfam family: tRNA
About the family: Transfer RNA (tRNA) molecules are approximately 80 nucleotides in length. Their secondary structure includes four short double-helical elements and three loops (D, anti-codon, and T loops).
Source: RNAcentral
GUUAGCUCAGUUGGUAGAGCAGUUGACUUUUAAUCAAUUGGUCGCAGGUUCGAAUCCUGCACGACCCA